CCUACGGGUGGCAGCAGUGGGGAAUAUUGGGCAAUGGGCGCAAGCCUGACCCAGCAACGCCGCGUGAAGGAAGAAGGCUUUCGGGUUGUAAACUUCUUUUAAGGGGGAAGAGCAGAAGACGGUACCCCUUGAAUAAGCCACGGCUAACUACGUGCCAGCAGCCGCGGUAAUACGUAGGUGGCAAGCGUUGUCCGGAUUUACUGGGUGUAAAGGGCGUGCAGCCGGAGAGACAAGUCAGAUGAGAAAUCCACGGGCUCAACCCCAUCCAGCCGUUGAAACUGGGGAUCUAGAGUGUGCGAGAGGUAUGCGGAAUGCGUGGUGUAGCGGUGAAAUGCAUAGAUAUCACGCAGAACCCCGAUUGCGAAGGCAGCAUACCGGUGCACAACUGACGCUCAGGCACGAAAGCGUGGGUAUCGAACAGGAUUAGAUACCCUUGUAGUC
RNAcentral lists this ribosomal RNA (441 nucleotides) under uncultured bacterium. RNAcentral's name for it is "partial 16S ribosomal RNA". It matches the Rfam family "Bacterial small subunit ribosomal RNA", at positions 338 to 795 of the family's 1533-position model. The record is from RNAcentral.